AGUGAACGCUGGCGGUAGGCCUAACACAUGCAAGUCGAACGGCAGCACAGGAGAGCUUGCUCUCUGGGUGGCGAGUGGCGGACGGGUGAGGAAUACAGUCGGAAUCGUACCUUUUCGUGGGGGAUAACGUAGGGAAACUUACGCUAAUACCGCAUACGACCUACGGGUGAAAGUGGGGGGACCGCAAGGCCUCACGCGAU
Molecule: ribosomal RNA, 200 nt
Filed under: uncultured bacterium
Lineage: Bacteria
Description: partial 16S ribosomal RNA
Rfam family: Bacterial small subunit ribosomal RNA
Source: RNAcentral